UCAGCCCUUGCCAGUAGUUUGCUUAAUCACCAUAUUUGUAGCUUUUGACAAUUUAGGGAUCAAUAUCUUUAACCCUUCUCUGACAUAGAUAGCAUUUGCUACUUAAAAGGCUCUAAAUGAAUAUUCGAUUGCUUCUUCUGCUGCCUCAAUAUAGGGAGUGGUUAAAGUCUUUGUUACCAAUAAAUCCUUCUAAUCAUCUACACAGACUUAUUUUUCUUUUACAAUGAACUUUAC
Molecule: long non-coding RNA, 234 nt
Filed under: Durio zibethinus
Lineage: Eukaryota; Viridiplantae; Streptophyta; Magnoliopsida; Malvales; Malvaceae
Description: long non-coding RNA (DZIB_LNC001661)
Source: RNAcentral